CCUACGGGGGGCAGCAGUAGGGAAUAUUGCUCAAUGGGGGAAACCCUGAAGCAGCAACGCCGCGUGGAGGAUGAAUGUUUUCGGAUUGUAAACUCCUUUUGUUAGAGAAGAUAAUGACGGUAUCUAACGAAUAAGCACCGGCUAACUCCGUGCCAGCAGCCGCGGUAAUACGGAGGGGGCAAGCGUUACUCGGAAUCACUGGGCGUAAAGAGCGCGUAGGCGGGAUAGCAAGUCAGAUGUGAAAUCCUAUGGCUUAACCAUAGAACUGCAUUUGAAACUGUUAUUCUAGAGUAUGGGAGAGGUAGGUGGAAUUCUUGGUGUAGGGGUAAAAUGCGUAGAGAUCAAGAGGAAUACUCAUUGCGAAGGCGACCUGCUAGAACAUAACUGACGCUGAUGCGCGAAAGCGUGGGGAGCAAACAGGAUUAGAUACCCGAGUAGUC
This 440-nucleotide ribosomal RNA is filed under the name uncultured bacterium. Its description in RNAcentral is "partial 16S ribosomal RNA". It matches the Rfam family "Bacterial small subunit ribosomal RNA", at positions 338 to 795 of the family's 1533-position model. The record is from RNAcentral.